Molecule: ribosomal RNA, 385 nt
Filed under: uncultured bacterium
Lineage: Bacteria
Description: bacterial SSU rRNA
Rfam family: Bacterial small subunit ribosomal RNA
Source: RNAcentral
AAUGGGGGAAACCCUGAUGCAGCAACGCCGCGUGAGCGAAGAAGGCCUUCGGGUUGUAAAGCUCUGUCUUCCCUGACGAUAAUGACGGUAAGGGAGGAGGAAGCCACGGCUAACUACGUGCCAGCAGCCGCGGUAAUACGUAGGUGGCGAGCGUUGUCCGGAAUUAUUGGGCGUAAAGGGUGCGUAGGCGGUUUUUUAAGUGGGAUGUGAAAUCCAUGGGCUUAACCCAUGAAUUGCAUUCCAAACUGGAAAGCUUGAGUGCAGGAGAGGAAAGCGGAAUUCCCAGUGUAGCGGUGAAAUGCGUAGAUAUUGGGAGGAACACCAGUGGCGAAGGCGGCUUUCUGGACUGUAACUGACGCUGAGGCACGAAAGCGUGGGGAGCAAA